AGAAUACCGCCUUUGAUUCAUGAGUUUCGAAACAUGAGCGCGAGACACCGAGUGAGGUGAAAUUGGGACAAGGGGAGAUAGAAGUAUUAGUGUGUGCGCGCACGUGUCUGGGAAGGGAGACGUGGUGUAGGCUGCUGCUUUGUGCUGGUAUUUGGCAACAGGCAUGGGCCAAAGACAAGUGGCACAGCAUUUGUGUGAGAAGACCCACAGCAUGCAACAUCAUCCAUGAUGUUUACUUCAUGAAUACUUGGUCCUCUGUUCAUAGCAAAACGAACUGUCAUAGCAAAACGAACUGAAGACUGGAAGAGAAUUAAGGAAUUGAACAGUCGCUGGGACAUUCCUAAAUGUUUGGGUCACAGAAAAAGAAAGGGAAAUCUGGCAGACGCAUCAUCCCAUUUCACUGAACAAUUGACCUGAUCUUCACUAACCUGAAGACUAUAAUCACUUGACUAACUACAAUUUCAGUGAUUUGUGCAAGAAACCAGGAGUCUGAAUCAUUGUACUAUGCUGGUGAAUGGGAGGAUGCAAGAGAUUGUGGACUGCAUGUGCACUGCUGAGGAUGGAACGACUCGCCUUAUCUUGGACCAUAACGUGUUGGAGUGGAAGUUGUAUGGGAGAGGAAAAGAAUGUGAAGGCUAAAAGGAGUGUAAGUUAAAUGUAGAAUGGGAGAAUUUCCAGCAACUUGAGGGAGUUGCUGGAAAGAUGAAACCUUGAAUGGGGUGAAUGGAGUGUUGAAAAUGUGAGGAAUGCAGCAGCCAGCCAGCCAGAUACGGUAUGUAAGAAAUGCUAGGAGGUAUGCAUGUAUGGCUUAUUAGUACAAUGAUAAAAUUAAGGAUGUUGCGAUGGAGAAAAAGAAAAUAAGUAGAAUAUGCAGCCAUUUGAGGAAGGGCAGCUACAAGUGUGUGGGGUUUUUAAGGGAGUACCAGAAUACAUGGACAUGUGAUAGUAGUGAAAUGUGUGGGACAGUGAAUUGAAGAAUAAUAUAGAACAAAAGAGUAGUUUGGAGUGGUGUGACGAGAAAGAUGCCCUAAUAUGUAAAAGGUGGUAAGGGAAGCUUGUGAUGAUUUCUUUCAAAUGAGGGCACAGUGUAUGGGUGUGAAUGCAAGGAGUUACAGAUGGUAAAGUCCUGCAGCAAAGUGUGCCAUACGCAUGAUAUGGAAGAGGAUGAGAGAGCGAUGGAUUGUGUGAAGUAUGUCACAUAAGAUGAUUUAAGUAGUGCUGGAGAAAUUGGGAAAUUUCAGAGCAAAGACAGGAAUGUUAUGGUGUUGCUGCUGGGACUGUGUGGGGAGAUGAAUGAAAUGAUGGUAGAAGCCAUGGAGGAGUCUGAGAGUGUAGUAUGGGACUGUGUAGGGAGAUGAAUGAAAGGAUGGUAGAAGCUGUGAAGGAGUCUGGAGAGUGUAGCAUGGGACUGUGUAGGGAGAUGAAUGAAAGGAUGGUAGAAGCUGUGAAGGAGUCUGGAGAGUGUAGCAUACUAGAUGUAGGAAUUAUUAGAGUUGCUGAUACAAAGAUCUAGUAGAACAUCCACUUCACCUGCAGCAGUCUUGUCCUUCCACAGAGGAUCCACUGGGCAAGGCUGGGGCGUUGUUCCUGAAAUAAGACAGGGCAUUACUAGGUUGCCUUAAAGGGAAUCCUGGACUUACUCCAGAUGGCAUCAGCAAAGCCAGCAACCAUUGCUGUUACUGCUGCUGCUGCUACGACGACCUUCAUCCGGAAAUGGAUCUGAGAGAUAAAUACUUUGUCAGACAGACCUGUGUAUCUAGUGUGUGAGACUUGUGGACUAGUAGUGUUGCUGGUAACAAGCUGCAAGAGUUUAAAGUCAAAAGACUCCCGAUCAUAUUGUUUUUCUUUUUUUUUUUAAUAAUUUUUCCCAACUGGAUGUGUUGUAGUUGUUCUCCGGAGCCUGUUUGAAGUAUUGUAAAAACUCGCUUGACUGUCAGAGCUAUGUUAAUAAAUGAAUGACCUUUGA
This is a long non-coding RNA of Portunus trituberculatus (swimming crab), 1966 nucleotides long. RefSeq lists it as uncharacterized. Lineage: Eukaryota; Metazoa; Arthropoda; Malacostraca; Decapoda; Portunidae. The transcript is spliced from 7 exons. The record is from RefSeq and is a predicted model, not a curated record.